Molecule: non-coding RNA, 64 nt
Filed under: bovine gut metagenome
Description: Fluoride riboswitch
Rfam family: Fluoride riboswitch aptamer (crcB RNA motif)
Source: RNAcentral
ACGGGAAUGAGGUUCUCCCAUGGUGAAUGCCAAAACCGCUGAAUUCAGCUGAUGACUUCUGCUC